GCAUAUCAAUUAAGCGGAGGAAAAGAAACUAACAAGGAUUCCCCUAGUAAACGGCGAGUGAAGAGGGAAGAGCCCAAGAUUGAAAGCUGGCGUCUUCGGCGUCCGCAUUGUAAUCUCAAGAAGUGUUUUCCGCUUCGGACCAAGCCUAAGUCCCCUGGAAAGGGGCAUCAUAGAGGGUGAUAAUCCCGUACAUGGCUUGGAGCGCCCGAGGCUUUGUGAUACGCUUUCUAAGAGUCGAGUUGUUUGGGAAUGCAGCUCAAAAUGGGUGGUAAAUGCCAUCUAAGGCUAAAUAUUGGGGAGAGACCGAUAGCGAACAAGUACAGUGAUGGAAAGAUGAAAAGAACUUUGAAAAGAGAGUUAAACAGUACGUGAAAUUGCCAAAAGGGAAGGGUAGGAGGUCAGAGAUGCGGCCUGGGAUUCAGCCUUGCUUUUGCUUGGUGUUUUUCCCAGAUUGCAGGCCAACGUCGGUUUUGGGCACUGGAGAAGGGUAGGAGGAACGUGGCACCUCUCGGGGUGUGUUAUAGCCUCCUACUGGAUACAGCGACCGAGACCGAGGACAGCAGCGUACUCGCAAGAGCGGGCCUUCGGGCACCUUUACGCUUAGGGCGUUGGCAUAAUGGCCCUCUAACCACCCGUCUUGAAACACGGAACC
RNAcentral lists this ribosomal RNA (652 nucleotides) under Moesziomyces antarcticus. RNAcentral's name for it is "LSU rRNA". It matches the Rfam family "Eukaryotic large subunit ribosomal RNA", at positions 38 to 664 of the family's 3401-position model. The record is from RNAcentral. Lineage: Eukaryota; Fungi; Basidiomycota; Ustilaginomycetes; Ustilaginales; Ustilaginaceae.